GGUGCAACAACAAUGCGCCGAGCCUGAUGAAAGCUGCCAUCAAUGAGCCUGAACCUGUGCCUGUGUUCGUGAGUGGAGUGCUCCCUGUUUGUUUGAGACAGUGUGUGUGUGUGUGUGUGUGUGUGUGUGUGUGUGUGUGUGUGUUCGUGAGUGGAGUGCUCCCUGUUUGUUUGAGACAGUGUGUGUGUGUGUGUGUGAGUGGAGUGCUCCCUGCUUGUUUGAGACAGUGUGUGUGUGUGUGUGUGUGUGUGUGUUGCUCCCUGUUUGUUUGAGACAGUGUGUGUGUGUGUGUGUGUGUGUGUGUGUUGCUCCCUGCUUGUUUGAGACAGUGUGUGUGUGUGUGAGUGGAGUGCUCCCUGCUUGUUUGAGACAGUGUG
Molecule: long non-coding RNA, 377 nt
Organism: Clupea harengus (Atlantic herring)
Lineage: Eukaryota; Metazoa; Chordata; Actinopteri; Clupeiformes; Clupeidae
Source: Ensembl